AAAACCGACACUGGUAGGCAGGGUGAGAAUCCCAAGGCGCUUGAGAGAACUCGGGUGAAGGAACUAGGCAAAAUGGCACCGUAACUUCGGGAGAAGGUGCGCCCUUUGACGUGGUCACAUGCGUGACUGAGCGUUGAAGGGUCGCAGUAACCUGGCCGCUGCGACUGUUUAUCAAAAACACAGCACUCUGCAAACACGAAAGUGGACGUAUAGGGUGUGACGCCUGCCCGGUGCUGGAAGGUUAAUUGAUGGGGUCAGCCGCAAGGCGAAGCUCUUGAUCGAAGCCCCAGUAAACGGCGGCCGUAACGAUAACGGUCCUAAGGUAGCGAAAUUCCUUGUCGGGUAAGUUCCGACCUGCACGAAUGGCGUAACGACAGCGGCGCUGUCUCCACCCGAGACUCAGUGAAAUUGAAUUCGCUGUGAAGAUGCAGCGUUCCCGCGGCAAGACGGAAAGACCCCGUGAACCUUUUCUAUAGCUUUACACUGAACGUUGAGUUCUUCUGUGUAGGAUAGGUGGGAGGCUUUGAAGCGCAGACGCCAGUUUGCGUGGAGCCAACCUUGAAAUACCACCCUGAAGUGCUUGACGUUCUAACCUCGGCCCGUAAUCCGGGUCAGGGACCGUGUAUGGUGGGUAGUUUGACUGGGGCGGUCUCCUCCCAAAGAGUAACGGAGGAGCACGAAGGUACGCUCAGCGCGGUCGGACAUCGCGCACUGUGUGCAAUGGCAUAAGCGUGCUUGACUGCGAGAUCGACGGAUCAAGCAGGUACGAAAGUAGGUCAUAGUGAUCCGGUGGUUCUGUAUGGAAGGGCCAUCGCUCAACGGAUAAAAGGUACUCCGGGGAUAACAGGCUGAUACCGCCCAAGAGUUCAUAUCGACGGCGGUGUUUGGCACCUCGAUGUCGGCUCAUCACAUCCUGGGGCUGUAGCCGGUCCCAAGGGUAUGGCUGUUCGCCAUUUAAAGUGGUACGCGAGCUGGGUUCAGAACGUCGUGAGACAGUUCGGUCCCUAUCUGUCGUGGGCGUUGGAGAUUUGAGGGGGGCUGCUCCUAGUACGUGAGGACCGGAGUGGACGUUCCGCUGGUGUUCGGGUUGUCAUGCCCAUGGCAUUGCCCGGUAGCUAUGAACGGAAGUGAUAACCGCUGAAAGCAUCUAAGCGGGAAGCACGCCCCAAGAUGAGAUCUCCCGAGAGCUUGACUCUCCUAAAGGCACCAUCAAGACCAGGUGGUUGAUAGGUCAGGUGUGGAAGCGCAGCAAUGCGUUGAGCUAACUGAUACUAAUGAGCCGUGCGGCUUGAUC
RNAcentral lists this ribosomal RNA (1294 nucleotides) under metagenome. RNAcentral describes it as "bacterial LSU rRNA". It matches the Rfam family "Bacterial large subunit ribosomal RNA", at positions 1649 to 2925 of the family's 2925-position model. The record is from RNAcentral.